RNAcentral lists this ribosomal RNA (497 nucleotides) under uncultured bacterium. RNAcentral's name for it is "partial 16S ribosomal RNA". It matches the Rfam family "Bacterial small subunit ribosomal RNA", at positions 28 to 507 of the family's 1533-position model. The record is from RNAcentral.
GAUGAACGCUGGCGGCGUGCCUAAUACAUGCAAGUCGAGCGAACAGACGAGGAGCUUGCUCCUCUGACGUUAGCGGCGGACGGGUGAGUAACACGUGGAUAACCUACCUAUAAGACUGGGAUAACUUCGGGAAACCGGAGCUAAUACCGGAUAAUAUAUUGAACCGCAUGGUUCAAUAGUGAAAGACGGUUUUGCUGUCACUUAUAGAUGGAUCCGCGCCGCAUUAGCUAGUUGGUAAGGUAACGGCUUACCAAGGCAACGAUGCGUAGCCGACCUGAGAGGGUGAUCGGCCACACUGGAACUGAGACACGGUCCAGACGCCUACGGGAGGCAGCAGUAGGGAAUCUGCCGCAAAGGGCGAAAGCCUGACGGAGCAACGCCGCGUGAGUGAUGAAGGUCUUCGGAUCGUAAAACUCUGUUAUUAGGGAAGAACAAAUGUGUAAGUAACUAUGCACGUCUUGACGGUACCUAAUCAGAAAGCCACGGCUAACUACGUG